UACGGAGGGAGCUAGCGUUGUUCGGAAUUACUGGGCGUAAAGCGUGCGUAGGCGGUUAUUCAAGUCAGAGGUGAAAGCCCGGGGCUCAACCCCGGAACGGCCUUUGAAACUAGAUAACUAGAAUCUUGGAGAGGUCAGUGGAAUUCCGAGUGUAGAGGUGAAAUUCGUAGAUAUUCGGAAGAACACCAGUGGCGAAGGCGACUGACUGGACAAGUAUUGACGCUGAGGUACGAAAGCGUGGGGAGCAAACAGG
Molecule: ribosomal RNA, 253 nt
Filed under: uncultured bacterium
Lineage: Bacteria
Description: partial 16S ribosomal RNA
Rfam family: Bacterial small subunit ribosomal RNA
Source: RNAcentral